Molecule: long non-coding RNA, 780 nt
Filed under: Malus domestica (apple)
Lineage: Eukaryota; Viridiplantae; Streptophyta; Magnoliopsida; Rosales; Rosaceae
Description: long non-coding RNA (MDOM_LNC012936)
Source: RNAcentral
CGUGUGACUCAACGAAAAUUGAAAUGAGUUGGAAAAGUCAUCAAAUAGGACACGUGUCAACACCUGGCAGAAACAACUUAUUUUAUCUGGGAUAUUAUAUUCAAAAUUAGGCAUUGGAAAAUUCUAUAAAUACAAGCCCAUUUCAUUCAUUUAAGGGGAACCAAUUCAUAUUACACCUUGAAGCUCUGAAGCUCUGAAACUCCGAAGCUCUCAAGCAUCCAGGUUCCCGAAGAAUCAAGAAAGCUCUCUUCGUUCUUCGUUCUUCGUCCAUCGCUCUUUCAAGAUCAAGCCCCGACGGCCCUUGAAGAAAGCACCAUCGUUCAUCAUCCGUUCAUCCAAGAUCAAGCCCCAACGGCCCUUUGGAUCAACAAUCAUCCACCUUCAAGAUCAAGCCCCAACGGCCCUUGAAGAAAGUGUUCUUCGUUCAUCGUUCUUCCAAGAUCAAGCCCCAACGGCCCUUUGGAUCAACAAACGUCGACAAAUCCACACAUCCAACCGUUCUUCAAGAUUAAGCCCAAAAGCACUUGAAGAUCUGUUCAUCACUGUUUCUUCAAGAUCAAGCCCAAAAGCCCUUGAAGAUCCGCUCAAAUCCACCUUCAAAGAUCAAGCCCACGGCCCUUUGAAGAAACUUCCAACUGUUCAUCCAAGAUUAAGCCUCGACGGCCCUUGGAUCAACGAAACACCCACCAAUCAACACCUUACGGAGAUCGAAUCAGAGGAUCAAAUUAGAGAGAGAUUGUAACCCAAAAUCAUCAAAUACAAAUAUUUAUUUGUGCACGU